AGAGGACACGGCUCAUCCAGCUACACCAGACCUGGGGGUAGGACUCUGUGUGCAUAUUGCAGCAAUCUGAGGAACUGGUACCCCCUGUGACAGAGCCCUACAGAGAUGUGACAAAAAAAGGUGUCUCUGCCCUGAGCCAUUUCAAAUGGCUCUGCAAGUCAGGGCCACCGAGGAGUCAAAUAUGCUGCACAGAAGGUGAAGAUGGUGUUGGUCCAUACCCAGCAGGGAGAAUCUUGGUGUCCUGC
Long non-coding RNA from Lepidothrix coronata (blue-crowned manakin), 245 nucleotides. RefSeq lists it as uncharacterized. The record is from RefSeq and is a predicted model, not a curated record. Lineage: Eukaryota; Metazoa; Chordata; Aves; Passeriformes; Pipridae. The transcript has 3 exons.